CAAGAGUUUGAUCCUGGCUCAGGACGAACGCUGGCGGCGCGCCUAACACAUGCAAGUCGAACGGAGNNNAUUUUGUUGAAGUUUUCGGAUGGAUACGAAGUUAACUUAGUGGCGAACGGGUGAGUAACGCGUGAGUAACCUGCCCCGAAGUGGGGGACAACAGUUGGAAACGACUGCUAAUACCGCAUAAGCCCACGGCACCGCAUGGUGCUGAGGGAAAAGGACUUCGGUUUGCUUCGAGAUGGACUCGCGUCCAAUUAGCUAGUUGGUGAGGUAACGGCCCACCAAGGCGACGAUUGGUAGCCGGACUGAGAGGUUGAACGGCCACAUUGGGACUGAGACACGGCCCAGACUCCUACGGGAGGCAGCAGUGGGGGAUAUUGCACAAUGGGGGAAACCCUGAUGCAGCGACGCCGCGUGGAGGAAGAAGGUUUUCGGAUUGUAAACUCCUGUCGUACGGGGCGAUAAUGACGGUACCGUACAAGAAAGCCACGGCUAACUACGUGCCAGCAGCCGCGGUAAGACGCCUA
RNAcentral lists this ribosomal RNA (530 nucleotides) under uncultured bacterium. RNAcentral describes it as "bacterial SSU rRNA". It matches the Rfam family "Bacterial small subunit ribosomal RNA", at positions 1 to 531 of the family's 1533-position model. The record is from RNAcentral.